Molecule: long non-coding RNA, 1129 nt
Organism: Megachile rotundata (alfalfa leafcutting bee)
Lineage: Eukaryota; Metazoa; Arthropoda; Insecta; Hymenoptera; Megachilidae
Source: RefSeq, a predicted model, not a curated record
AGCAAGUGUAAGUUAGUGUUGCUAGUGAUAUAUUUCCAGUUCAUUUAUACAGAAACAAAAAAAAGUUUGAAAACAAUAAAGCUUACAAUAUGCAUUGAGCUGUAAAGUGUAUGUUGCAAUUUAACGAGCAAUAAACUUUUGUGGUUCACAGCAUCUGCUACCUGUGGGUUGCCGCAUACCUCUCGAGUUACAAAAGUACUUCGAACAAUUUUAAAUUACGCGCCAAUAAAAUGAAAGCGAAACGAAAAGUAAGUACUUGCAGUUGGUAAAUAAAACUGAAGGCUGAAGAGGAAUCCUGAUAUUUAUAUUUGAUGCAAUAAUCAUGAGGUGAAAAAACGAGAGCACUCCCGUUAAUGCUGCACGAAGUUCGAGGGCUCAUUAACGAACAAUCAUUUAGCAGUUUCAUUGUCAGUAUCAGCAAUGCUGUUUUCGUUUGCAUAAUUUCAUUUCUGGUAGCAACGAAAACUAAAUGAGAUGGACACAUGCAAAUUGAAGGCGCGCGUUUGAAUUUCUGCAAGUGCAUUAUGCAUCAGGAACGGGAUUUUUACAAGAAGGAAUGCUACAACUUCCUUUGCUCGCGUCAUCAGCCUAUAAGGAGAAGAAUGAGAAUGCCGAGCCUAAGAUGUGCUGCUUCUGCAUGGCAAGCAGAUGCAUUCACAGAAAUCUUCACUUCCUUUGCGACACUGAUAUACAGGGUGAUCCUCUAACUAAUUGUUUACCAAUAUUUUACAAAAUCGAUCGAAAAUACCGAGUCACUCGUUACUCAAAAAUACUUCCGUUUCUGGCAGAAUAUAUUUUUGGCAUUAUUCAAAAUUUAACAUUAACACUGGAUUCGACAUUUACUUAUGUUUACAUUGAAGUAGAAAAAUAAAUAAUGGAUGAUACACUAACUAUAAUACCAUGAUCCUUAAUCUCCGCAAAAGUCAAAACACAUUUGUACAGAAGUGUCUUCAUAAUUUUAUAAGAGCAUCUCACAAAAAUUUGUUUUGCACAAAAAUUCCUGAAGGUGCGGAAGAAAAUUUAUCUUACAAAAUGUUAAUACAUAAAAAUUCUCAAAGAUGAAGAAGAAAGUUUACUCUAUAAAACUUCAUUUUAAAGAAAAAUUCCUGAAGACGAUAAAGAAAAUUUG